This 76-nucleotide transfer RNA is filed under the name Eubacteriales Family XIII. Incertae Sedis bacterium. RNAcentral describes it as "tRNA-His". It matches the Rfam family "tRNA". From Rfam's summary of the family: Transfer RNA (tRNA) molecules are approximately 80 nucleotides in length. The record is from RNAcentral. Lineage: Bacteria; Bacillati; Bacillota; Clostridia; Peptostreptococcales; Anaerovoracaceae.
GUGGGUAUCGUCAAGCGGUUAAGACCCAGGGUUGUGGUUCCUGUAUGCGUGGGUUCGAGUCCCACUACCCACCCCA